GGGUCCAUAGCUCAGUCCGGUUAGAGCGCUCGGCUCAUAACCGAGUGGUCACCGGUUCAAAUCCGGUUGGACCCA
RNAcentral lists this transfer RNA (75 nucleotides) under Halorutilus salinus. It matches the Rfam family "tRNA". Rfam says of the family: Transfer RNA (tRNA) molecules are approximately 80 nucleotides in length. Their secondary structure includes four short double-helical elements and three loops (D, anti-codon, and T loops). Further hydrogen bonds mediate the characteristic L-shaped molecular structure. tRNAs have two regions of fundamental functional importance: the anti-codon, which is responsible for specific mRNA codon recognition, and the 3' end, to which the tRNAs corresponding amino acid is attached (by aminoacyl-tRNA synthetases). tRNAs cope with the degeneracy of the genetic code in two manners: having more than one tRNA (with a specific anti-codon) for a particular amino acid; and 'wobble' base-pairing, i.e. permitting non-standard base-pairing at the 3rd anti-codon position. The record is from Rfam by way of RNAcentral. Lineage: Archaea; Methanobacteriati; Methanobacteriota; Halobacteria; Halorutilales; Halorutilaceae.